AAGUACGUUUUGAUCUAAAGAAAGCGAGAUGAUUCUUUGAGGUGAACAAUAUCGUUCAAUGCUUGAUCUUGAUUCUGCUGCGUUUGAUUUUGUUGCUGCUUUUAUUCAUGAUUCAUGAACCUGCUGUUUGAAGGAAAAGAUUGAGGAAUUUGCGGAGUUUUGCACCUGGAGAAGAAAGAAUCUGAUUUUUUAUAAAAAAUUUCGAAAAAACUUUCUAUAUUGCGCCUAAGUACGUUUUGAUCUAAAGAAAGUGAGAUGAUUCUUUGAGGUGAACUAUAUCGUUCAAUGCUUGAUCUUGAUUCUGUUGCGUUUGAUUUUGUUGCUGCUUUUAUUCAUGAUUCAUGAACUUGCUGUUUGAAGGAAAAGAUUGAGGAAUUUGCGGAGUUUUGCACCUGGUGAAGAAGGAAUCUGAUUUUUUUUUUUUAAUUUCGAAAUAACUUUCUAUAUUGCGCCUAAGUUUACUUUCUAGUACUAUUUCACAGUUCCAGCUGAAUUUACUUGCAGGUAGC
Molecule: long non-coding RNA, 509 nt
Filed under: Ananas comosus (pineapple)
Lineage: Eukaryota; Viridiplantae; Streptophyta; Magnoliopsida; Poales; Bromeliaceae
Description: long non-coding RNA (ACOM_LNC004376)
Source: RNAcentral